AGAGUUUGAUCCUGGCUCAGGAUGAACGCUAGCGGCAGGCCUAAUAUAUGCAAGUCGAACGGUAAGUAGUGUAGCAAUACAUUGCCUAGAGUGACGUAAGGGUGCGUAACACGUAUGCAAUCUGCCCUGNUACAGGUGAAUAGCUCGGGGAAACUCGAAUUAACACACCGUAAUAUCAUGAAAAGGCAUCUUUUUAUGAUUAAAACUGACNGUGGUACAGGAUGAGCAUGCGCAUGAUUAGUUAGUUGGCGGGGUAACGGCCCACCAAGACGAUGAUCAUUAGGGGAACUGAGAGGUUGAUCCCCCACACUGGCACUGAGAUACGGGCCAGACUCCUACGGGAGGCAGCAGUAGGGAAUAUUGGACAAUGGGUGAGAGCCUGAUCCAGCCAUGCCGCGUGCAGNGAAGAAGGCCUUCUGGGNUUGUAAACUGCUUUUGCCAGGGGGAUAAAAAGCCCUUGCGAGGGAAAUUGAAGGUACCUGGUGAAUAAGCCACGGCUAACUACGUGCCAGCAGCCGCGGUAAUACGUANGUGGCAAGCGUUGUCCGGAUUUAUNGGGUUUAANGGGUGCGUAGGCGGUUCUAUAAGUCNGUGGUGAAAUCCGGCANCUCAACUGUCGANGUGCCAUUGAUACUGGCAGAACUNGANCUACAGACGAGGUANGCNGANUUGACGGUGGUNGCNGGUGAACANGCNUANNNUNUCGNNCNANAACCNCCNAUGGNCGAA
RNAcentral lists this ribosomal RNA (729 nucleotides) under uncultured bacterium. RNAcentral's name for it is "partial 16S ribosomal RNA". It matches the Rfam family "Bacterial small subunit ribosomal RNA", at positions 8 to 719 of the family's 1533-position model. The record is from RNAcentral.